GACGAACGCUGGCGGCGUGCUUAACACAUGCAAGUCGAACGGGAGUAUUGAAGAAGCUUGCUUUAGAGAUAUUUUAGUGGCGGACGGGUGAGUAACGCGUGAGGAGCUGUCCGAUGCAGGGGGACAACAGUUGGAAGCGACUGCUAAUACCCCAUAAGCCGAGAGGUAAAAGGAUUUAUCCGGCAUGGGAGGUACUCGCGUCCUAUCAGCUAGUAGGUGAGGUAACGGCUCACCUAGGCGAAGACGGGUAGCCGGCCUGAGAGGGCGAACGGCCACACUGGAACUGAGAUACGGUCCAGACUCCUACGGGAGGCAGCAGUGGGGAAUAUUGGGCAAUGGGGGGAACCCUGACCCAGCGACGCCGCGUGGGUGAAGAAAUCCCUCGGGGUGUAAAGCCCUGUUGUAUGGGAAGAGCGGAAGACGGUACCAUACGAGGAAGCCCCGGCAAACUACGUGCCAGCCGCCGCAGUAA
RNAcentral lists this ribosomal RNA (472 nucleotides) under uncultured bacterium. RNAcentral describes it as "partial 16S ribosomal RNA". It matches the Rfam family "Bacterial small subunit ribosomal RNA", at positions 28 to 523 of the family's 1533-position model. The record is from RNAcentral.